AGUGAACGCUGGCGGUAGGCCUAACACAUGCAAGUCGAACGGCAGCACAGUAAGAGCUUGCUCUUACGGGUGGCGAGUGGCGGACGGGUGAGGAAUACAUCGGAAUCUACUUUUUCGUGGGGGAUAACGUAGGGAAACUUACGCUAAUACCGCAUACGACCUACGGGUGAAAGCAGUGGAGCUUCGGACCUUUCGCGAUUGAAUGAGCCGAUGUCGGAUUAGCUAGUUGGCGGGGUAAAGGCCCACCAAGGCGACGAUCCGUAGCUGGUCUGAGAGGAUGAUCAGCCACACUGGAACUGAGACACGGUCCAGACUCCUACGGGAGGCAGCAGUGGGGAAUAUUCGACAAUGGGCGAAAGCCUGAUCCAGCAAUACCGCGUGAGUGAAGAAGGCCUUCGGGUUGUAAAGCCCUUUUGUUGGGAAAGAAAAGAAGUAGGUUAAUACCCCGCUGUUCUGACGGUACCUAAAGAAUAAGCAACGGCUAACUUCGUG
This 492-nucleotide ribosomal RNA is filed under the name uncultured bacterium. RNAcentral describes it as "partial 16S ribosomal RNA". It matches the Rfam family "Bacterial small subunit ribosomal RNA", at positions 29 to 507 of the family's 1533-position model. The record is from RNAcentral.